This 468-nucleotide ribosomal RNA is filed under the name uncultured bacterium. RNAcentral describes it as "partial 16S ribosomal RNA". It matches the Rfam family "Bacterial small subunit ribosomal RNA", at positions 28 to 507 of the family's 1533-position model. The record is from RNAcentral.
GACGAACGCUGGCGGCGUGCUUAACACAUGCAAGUCGAACGGAAAGGCCCUGCUUUUGUUGGGUGCUCGAGUGGCGAACGCGUGAGUAACACGUGAGUAACCUGCCCUUGACUUUGGGAUAACAUCAGGAAACUGGGGCUAAUACCGGGUAGGAGCUCCUGCUGCAUGGUGGGGGUUGGAAAAUUUCGGCGGUGGGGGCUGGACUCGCGGCUUAUCAGCUUGUUGGUGUGGUAGUGGCUUACCAAGGCUUUGACGGGUAGCCGGCCUGGGAGGGUGACCGGGCACAUGGGGACUGAGAGACGGCCCAGACGCGUACGGGAGGCAGCAGGGGAGAAUAUUGCACAAUGGGCGGAAGCCUGAUGCAGCAACGCCGCGUGCGGGAUGACGGCCUUCGGGUUGUAAACCGCUUUCGCCUUAGACGAAGCGUGAGUGACGGUAAUGGGUAAAGAAGCAACGGCUAACUACGUG